CCUGAAGUGGGUUGUAGCCAUAAUUAUGGUUUUACGUCCACCACAGAGAGUGUGGGUGGGGAUGCUGCUAGCAUUAGUGGUGGUGGUGGAGCUUCCCGGGGCCUUGCAGAAGUGCAUCUUUGAUGAGGUUCAGGCUCAGGUCAGAGUGGUCAGAGCUGCACCCACAGAGCCCAGACUCAGAGCACCGACCGGGCAAAAGCACCUGAUAACCUCUGGACAACAAACUAGUCACCGAGGACAGUCAGUAAAACGGAGGAGCAUCCUGAGAGAAUUAGCCCCGCCUACUCUUGCCACUCCACAGCCAAUCAGGAUCCAGACUUGGGUUCCAAGAGAGAGUUGCGACCUAUCAGAGACUGAGAAAGGAAGGCUGGAGGCUGCAGUGGAGGAGGCUGUGAAGGUGGUGUCUUCUUUACUGUCAGUGAACAGAGUGCUGGGCCCGUUGUUGCUUAGCAGAGACAUCAACAAAUACUGCAAGUUCCUUUGGAGGAAUUCAAGCGCUGCCAACUACAACAGGUGUGGAAGAGCCAACAGCAACUAUAGAACUGAGACUUGUCUAGAUGUGACAAUCCCAGAUGAUCACUUGGCAGGAU
Molecule: long non-coding RNA, 590 nt
Organism: Amphiprion ocellaris (clown anemonefish)
Lineage: Eukaryota; Metazoa; Chordata; Actinopteri; Pomacentridae
Source: Ensembl